UUGACCAAUAAAGAAGACGAAAAGUAUUAAUAGAAUUAGCUUUUAACAUUUGAAGGUGAUUUUUAGUAAAUUUUGUUUAGUGAAUACGUGAUAAUGGGUAGAGGAAAGCGGUUGACUAGGGCGGAAUCAAAGAUUAUACAAACAUUACAAGACGAAGGGCGGCCAAGAGCACGAGCAAACCAUCUUAAGCGCGGCAAAUUACAGAAAAAACCGCCUCUCACAGAAAAGCACAAACUGGCCAGAAUGGCUUCUGCAGAAAAUCACUUGCGUUGCGCCGUGUAUUUUUUACAGACGGAGCCGACGGUUUCAAUUAUUAUUUCCAUGAUUUAAGGAAGGAAGAGAGAGUGUUAAGCAAAAACCAGUUUGGUGGCGGAAGUGUAAUGGUUUCGACUGCUAUUGGAUAUAAUGGGCGGCCAACUAUUUGGUUUUUAAGUGGGAAAAUAGACAGCUCCCGCAGCAACAUACGGAUGUCCUCGAUUUUAAGACUGGAGGCAGCUGACCCAAAUCGUUUAUGCUGAAUCAAAGCAAUUUGAAGACGUAAACGAAUUAAAAAAAAAGGCUAUUAUUUCUGCAUGGGACUAAAUUUCGAGGAAAUAUAUAUGAAAAUUGUUUAAUCAAGGUAAACAAAUGGUAGAAAUUAUAAAAAAGAAAGGAGGCUCAAUAAAAUAUUAAAAUAUCGUG
Long non-coding RNA from Hermetia illucens (black soldier fly), 681 nucleotides. RefSeq lists it as uncharacterized. The record is from RefSeq and is a predicted model, not a curated record. Lineage: Eukaryota; Metazoa; Arthropoda; Insecta; Diptera; Stratiomyidae. The transcript has 3 exons.